RNAcentral lists this ribosomal RNA (463 nucleotides) under uncultured bacterium. RNAcentral describes it as "partial 16S ribosomal RNA". It matches the Rfam family "Bacterial small subunit ribosomal RNA", at positions 28 to 507 of the family's 1533-position model. The record is from RNAcentral.
GACGAACGCUGGCGGCGUGCUUAACACAUGCAAGUCGAACGGUGAACCUCUUCGGAGGGGAUCAGUGGCGAACGGGUGAGUAACACGUGGGCAACCUGCCCCCGGCUCUGGGAUAACUCCAAGAAAUUGGGGCUAAUACCGGAUGUUCACCGCUUCCCGCAUGGGUGGUGGUGGAAAGGGUUUCCGGCUGGGGAUGGGCCCGCGGCCUAUCAGCUUGUUGGUGGGGUAGUGGCCUACCAAGGCGACGACGGGUAGCCGGCCUGAGAGGGUGACCGGCCACACUGGGACUGAGACACGGCCCAGACUCCUACGGGUGGCAGCAGUGGGGAAUAUUGCGCAAUGGGCGGAAGCCUGACGCAGCGACGCCGCGUGGGGGAUGACGGCCUUCGGGUUGUAAACCUCUUUCAGCAGGGACGAAGCGCAAGUGACGGUACCUGCAGAAGAAGCACCGGCCAACUACGUG